CGAACGGGCAGUAGCAAUACUGUCAGUGGCGCACGGGUGCGUAACGCGUAGAUAAUCUACCUUCCAGCGGGGGAUAACCAAGGGAAACUUUGGCUAAUACCCCAUAAGACCACGGUGCCUGCGGGCGCUGAGGGAAAAGGCGGCCUCUGUAUAUGCUGUCACUGGGAGAUGAGUCUGCGUCCCAUCAGCUAGUUGGUGAGGUAAUGGCUCACCAAGGCAAAGACGGGUAGCUGGUCUGAGAGGAUGAUCAGCCACACUGGCACUGGAACACGGGCCAGACUCCUACGGGAGGCAGCAGUGGGGAAUAUUGGGCAAUGGGCGCAAGCCUGACCCAGCCACGCCGCGUGAGUGAUGAGGGCCUUCGGGUUGUAAAGCUCUGUGGGAAGAGAAGAAAAACUGGUGGUUAAUACCCAUCCAGGUUGACGGUAUCUUCUUAGCAAGCACCGGCUAACUCUGUGCCAGCAGCCGCGGUAAGACAGAGGGUGCAAACGUUGCUCGGAUUUACUGGGCGUAAAGCGCAUGUAGGCGGGCGAUUAAGUCGGGUGUGAAAUCCCUGGGCUCAACCUAGGAACUGCAUCCGAAACUGAUCACCUUGAGUAGUGGAGAGGAAAGCGGAAUUCCCGGUGUAGAGGUGAAAUUCGUAGAUAUCGGGAGGAACACCAGUGGCGAAGGCGGCUUUCUGGACACUAACUGACGCUGAGAUGCGAAAGCGUGGGGAGCAAACAGGAUUAGAUACCCUGGUAGUCCACGCCGUAAACGAUGAGUGCUGGGUGUCGGCGGUAUUGACCCCGGCGGCGCCGUAGCUAACGCGUUAAGCACUCCGC
RNAcentral lists this ribosomal RNA (824 nucleotides) under uncultured bacterium. RNAcentral describes it as "bacterial SSU rRNA". It matches the Rfam family "Bacterial small subunit ribosomal RNA", at positions 63 to 872 of the family's 1533-position model. The record is from RNAcentral.